AAAAUACUCACGCGACAAGUCAACAACGAUGAAAUUUGGUGAAAUCAAAAGCAAACAUCACAGAUGAAAAGAGCUUAGGUUAUCAGAUGCAAAGCUAAAAUGGCAAUAACAAAUUCACAUGAAGGCAAGCAACAAAGAAACCUUAUCCCAACAUUCCCAAUACCCUCUCUAUGUUUAUAAAAACAAAGCAAAAAUAACGUACAAGAAGCAAUUAGUGUAGAAAAAUACCCACACGGAAA
RNAcentral lists this long non-coding RNA (239 nucleotides) under Lathyrus oleraceus (garden pea). RNAcentral's name for it is "Pisum sativum (pea) long non-coding RNA (PSAT_LNC020461)". Lineage: Eukaryota; Viridiplantae; Streptophyta; Magnoliopsida; Fabales; Fabaceae. The record is from RNAcentral.